Molecule: long non-coding RNA, 362 nt
Filed under: Anser brachyrhynchus (Pink-footed goose)
Lineage: Eukaryota; Metazoa; Chordata; Aves; Anseriformes; Anatidae
Description: lncRNA (ENSABRG00000010916.1)
Source: RNAcentral
CAAACACUCCCACGGGUCAGUGAAGAUCUCCUCUUUCUCUUUCUCUCUGUCGUACUUAUGAAAUGAACCUCAUAUGUCCUAGUAGUCCGUGUGUGCUGCAAUAUGAAAGGCUGACACUUCACCCAGUGUGCUAUUUUCCAUCCUGCCAGCCAGGCACAGAAAUAGGCAGAAAAAAAUGCUGAAGAAAUGGCAGUGGUGCUGUUCUUUCAUCGCCUGUAAAAUGCAAACCUUUCCUGCUUUCCGUGAGGAAUAGUGGGUGAAGUAUAGGUACUUCUGUAAUUCAUCGUUUCACAUUCUGUAAUGUAAGCAUGGAAAUCAGUAGCUCCAGUGACCAGAAGGAGGGAGAGCCCUAGGGUCUGCUU